CACGGAGGGACAAUUUUGGUUUUUCCCCACUUUUAAGUGGGGUGACAAUUCUAAAUGAGGGGGUGAGAAAUCUAAUUCCCCUGGUUUUCUCAUUCUCUAACACCUUCUUCUGGAUUUUCAUGAAAUUUGAAUCUUGUAGGUCAAAGUGUUGUUGAGUUCUAUAUUGUUCAUGAAGGAAAGGGAGGACCCUUGAUUCCCAGUUAUUUGGAAUUGGUUUUGGUUUUGCGGCUCCGCUCCAUAAAUUGACUUUUUGUUAGAUGGUGCGUUUGACAAUUUCUAAGGUUAUAUUUUCAGGAAGAAAUACAUGGAAAUUAGGGCAACGGUGGUUCAAAUAUAAACAUGCAAUUGGAUGCUCAAUUGGAUUAGCGCUGAAAGAGAAGACAUCAGGGAAAAGGAUCAAUGGUUUUCAGGGACCCAAGCAAAUUAUUAUUUGCUUCAGCUGACUCACAUGUCGGUUAUACUUUCGGGAGUGGAUAUCAUCUGCAAAUUCAAGGGUAAUAUUAGUGAUUUUGAAACUCAUGUGAGGUGGUGCAUUAUUAGGCUUUCUAUAAGGCAUAAAAAGUGAAGUUUGACGAUGAUCCUGAAUUUAAGCUGAGGGUGCAGCAGGCUGUGAUCCUACUCCAGGUCAAUUAUAUCCUAAGAUUUUGACAAGGUCUAUCAACGACUUGGAGUUUGAUUGGAGGAAAUGGCUUGUCAAUCCCGGAUAGCAGAGCGGAGUUGCGAGCCCAAAAACGCUAUAGCAUUAUAGAAUCUAGCAGGAUGGCCACUACACUAAAGAAGGAGGAAGAAGGAGAAACAAGGAGGAGGAAGAAGGAAGAGGAAGGAGGAAGAAACUGGAAGAACGUUGGAGUCUUGACAGCGGCUGGUUGAGGCUUGUCGGCGGUGGCUAAGGGUGUGGUUAGCCGCUGAUGAGUCAAUCACCACGAAGACUGGGCUGUGGACCUUGUUUAUUGUUGUCAUAACACCCUUUUCUACUCCCUUUUACCAGUAGCAAAGAUGUCCUUGGUUAUUGACUUGUCUUGAGUUUUGGUGAUACCACCCUUAAAUAAUCAUUUGAGUUCCAAAAUCUUUUAUUUGAUAGUCAUUUUGUUUUAUUUUUCCUUUUCAUUUUUUACAAAGGGAAAAGUCAUGGACCAUGUCAUAUUACUAGUGCCACUCCCAAUAUUUUUCAGUUGUGCCUAGGUUUUCUACCGUGGUUGACCAGCGCUUAUCUGUGAUAUGGCUUGUAUGCUUCG
Molecule: long non-coding RNA, 1235 nt
Organism: Lotus japonicus
Lineage: Eukaryota; Viridiplantae; Streptophyta; Magnoliopsida; Fabales; Fabaceae
Exons: 7
Source: RefSeq, a predicted model, not a curated record